CACUCACCCUCAAAGGAGAGGAGCUGUGGGACCAGAACGUCAUCCAGCACGAUGACAACCCAGAGGAUAUGGGAGACCCCACUGCGGCCACCAGGGACGUGGAUGGGAUGAACACGUGGCCUGUGGCCUCUCCAACCCCCACUUCAACCAGGGACCCCCCCAACAUCACCGCGCCGACGCAAGCAGGCAGCCUGGGGAACCAAACCCGAAAUGGGUCGGGAAUUCCCGUCAAGUACUGGUCCCCCGUCAUCUUUGUGCUCCUUGCUCUGCUCGUGCUCUUCUUCACCUACCGGAGGACCAAGGGUGAAGGUGAGCUCCUCGCCGGGGCACCCGUGGUUGGGGCAGCCCCGCGAUGGGUUCAGCAGCGAAGGGUGGUGGCAAACCCUGCCAGCCUCAAAGCACCACGAAAAGCAGCAAAAUGCCACCCAUGCUGGCAUGGCUUGAUGAGGCUUUGUGCCGGAGGAGGCUUCUUCUGUUCAGUUUUGCACCUUUUGGGCUCCCCUGUGCCACGAAGCUUCGACCUCUCCCCGUUUUGACACAAACCCGAGCUCGUGGCCUCGCCAAGGAAAACCCAAACCUGCUCACCCCUCAUCCCAGCGGGACCUCGCUGUGUUUUUGUUGUUGUUGUUGUUUUAUUAAUGGGUUUUCAGCCUCUCUAAUGUCAUGCGUGUGUCUGCCCUGCUCCACAGGGACGCGGGAGCCAACCACCUCCAUCAGUGACUUCUCAGGUGAGCCGCGAGCGGGUUCCUCGUUAGGGCAACGCUCGUUAGCGCAGCCUCUGCCCGCUCCUAGUGCCUUGACUCGGCCCCGUGUGUUGCGUUUCAGAUGCGCUUGUCCAAGAGCACGACACCGCCCUCAUCAUCCCCGCUGCCCAGGAGGACAGGAAAGGGGCAGAGAACCCCCACGCCCAGGAGCUGACCGAGACCACCUUCUGCCAGCCGGACCCCCCCCCAGGACAGCCGCUGCCUUCCCAGGUAUUCCCCCCCCCCUCCUGGCAGCUGCCAGCCCAGGGCACAAUUCUGGGCACGGUGUGCACCCAAAACACUGUGUGGGGAGGUUUUUAGGAUGCUCCUGAUGUGCCCUGGACACCCAGGGAGGGUUUGGGACCCCCAGGGAGGGUUUGUGCCCCCCUCAGCUCCUCCUUUUGCCUCUCCCUGACCUCAGCAGCCCGCUGUCCCUGCGGCCACCGGCGAUCCCUGCAGCUCCGGGGAGCCUGGUGCCGACUGAGGGCCGGCCGGGGGAGCCAGCGGCUUUUGGACAAGCUGAUGGAGCACGAGGCCAUCCCAGGAGGACAAAUUCUAACCAGACACCCAGCGGGGGGACACGUGGAUGCUGGGGGAUGUGAACACCAUGCACCACCUUGCUCCGAGGGAUGCUCCGGCACAUCGCCAAAACCCAGCGGAAUGGGGACCCGCUUGGGACAGGGCUGGGCGCAUUGUUCACGGCCCCCAAGGACAGGGCUUGUGGGGGGGGCACGGCCGAGCCAAUAAAGCCGGGUUUCACCCCA
Molecule: long non-coding RNA, 1507 nt
Filed under: Anas platyrhynchos platyrhynchos (common mallard)
Lineage: Eukaryota; Metazoa; Chordata; Aves; Anseriformes; Anatidae
Description: lncRNA (ENSAPLG00000026552.1)
Source: RNAcentral